Molecule: non-coding RNA, 121 nt
Filed under: Micromonospora echinospora
Lineage: Bacteria; Bacillati; Actinomycetota; Actinomycetes; Micromonosporales; Micromonosporaceae
Description: SAM-IV sequence
Rfam family: SAM (S-adenosyl methionine) riboswitch aptamer
About the family: SAM-IV is a mRNA element that regulates gene expression via direct sensing of S-adenosylmethionine (SAM or AdoMet). SAM-IV riboswitches share conserved nucleotide positions with the previously described SAM-I riboswitches sequence analysis and molecular recognition experiments suggest that SAM-I and SAM-IV riboswitches share similar ligand binding sites, but have different scaffolds.
Source: RNAcentral
GGUCAUGAGUGCCAGCGACAAGCCCCGGCUUGCUGGCCGGCAACCCUCGUCGAGGUUCGCGGUGGGGUGCCCCGGGUGAUGACCGGGCCCAGCACGACCAGGUGCUGGGCAAGCGCGGGCC